ACCGAAUAAGACCCCACGAUGGCAUCAUUGAGAGGUCAAAGUGAUAGCGGUAUAAGAUGGGCUCGCGUCCAAUUAGCUAGUUGGUGAGGUAACGGCCCACCAAGGCGACGAUUGGUAGCCGGCCUGAGAGGGUGAUCGGCCACACUGGAACUGAGACACGGUCCAGACUCCUACGGGAGGCAGCAGUGGGGAAUAUUGGGCAAUGGAGGAAACUCUUACCCAGCAAUGCCGCGUGAGUGAAUUAGAAGGUCUUCGGAUUGUAAAGCUCUUUGAUUAGGGAAGAUAAUGACGUGUACCUAAAGAACAAGCCCCGGCUAACUAUGUGCCAGCAGCCGCGGUAAUACAUAGGGGGCGAGCGUUGUCCGGAAUGACUGGGCGUAAAGGGUGCGUAGGUGGUGUAUCAAGUUGGAAGUGUAAUACCCAGGGCUUAACUCGGGUGCUGCUUCCAAAACUGAUUUACUUGAGUGUCGGAGGGGAAAGUGGAAUUCCUAGUGUAGCGGUGGAAUGCGUAGAUAUUAGGAGGAACACCGGUGGCGAAAGCGGCUUUCUGGACGACAACUGACACUGAGGCACGAAAGCGUGGGGAGCAAACAGGAUUAGAUACCCUGGUAGUCCACGCCGUAAACGAUGGAUACUAGGUGUAGGGGGUAUCGACUCCCCCUGUACCGUAGCAAACGCAUUAAGUAUCCCGCCUGAGUAGUACGGUCGCAAGGCUAAAACUCAAAGAAAUUGACGGGGACCCGCACAAGCAGCGGAGCAUGUGGUUUAAUUCGAUGCAACGCGAAGAACCUUACCAAGACUUGACAUCUAUAUGACCGCCUUCGAAAAAGGGCUUCUCUUCGGAGCAUAUAGAC
This 854-nucleotide ribosomal RNA is filed under the name anaerobic digester metagenome. RNAcentral describes it as "bacterial SSU rRNA". It matches the Rfam family "Bacterial small subunit ribosomal RNA", at positions 168 to 1035 of the family's 1533-position model. The record is from RNAcentral.